This 241-nucleotide small nuclear RNA is filed under the name Ochotona princeps (American pika). RNAcentral's name for it is "7SK RNA (ENSOPRG00000021856.1)". It matches the Rfam family "7SK RNA", at positions 1 to 283 of the family's 331-position model. Rfam says of the family: 7SK was discovered as an abundant small nuclear RNA in the mid-70s but a possible function has only recently been suggested. Two independent studies have found that 7SK RNA binds the CDK9/cyclin T complex (known as elongation factor P-TEFb). P-TEFb activates transcription by phosphorylating the C-terminal domain of RNA polymerase II. Lineage: Eukaryota; Metazoa; Chordata; Mammalia; Lagomorpha; Ochotonidae. The record is from RNAcentral.
GGUUGUGAGGGCGAUCUGGCCACGACAUCUGUCACCCCACUAAUCACCAGGGUUGAUUCGGCUGAUCUGGCUGGCUGGGCGGUUGUCCCUUUCCUCCAUCACCGCUCCAUGUGCAUCCCUCCCGAAGCCGUGAGCUCCAGGGAAGAGGCCGGCCAUCCCCGUUAGAGGAGGACUGGUCUUCGGUCAAGGGUGUAAGAGUAGCUGCGCUCGGGCCCAGCGGCGUGGCCUAGCGGCUAAAGUC